Long non-coding RNA from Apis dorsata (giant honeybee), 573 nucleotides. RefSeq lists it as uncharacterized. The record is from RefSeq and is a predicted model, not a curated record. The transcript has 2 exons. Lineage: Eukaryota; Metazoa; Arthropoda; Insecta; Hymenoptera; Apidae.
UUGAUUCACGACCGAAACCUGUUACUCGAAUCCCCCUGCCCCCUCGUUCGUCCCUCUUCACGAUUGCUCGACGAGCUGUCUGUGCCUGCGCUGCGAGUGAACACCGACAACGAUGCUCGAAAAAUCUCUCACGAGAAGGGUGAGACGACCAUGCAAACAGCUCGAACAAAGGAAAGGAAGGGGAAGGGGGGAGGAGGAGGAGGAAGGAGAGGGUUAUCGUCGAAAUUGUGCCGGCAUUACUUCAGCUCCAAAAAAUUUCUCUCGAAAUUACUCGCUCUCGGAGGAUGGAAACAAACGGAAGAGGGAAGAGAGAGAGAGAGAGAGAGAGAGAGAUUCUUAAAGGCGGAGAGGAAACUUGGAAGGGUGGCCUCCACCCUGCUCGUUAGCUGUUACAACUUGCAGAGGGCAUGAAGAGAUCCCUGUUCUCCCCCUCGCCCACCCCAUAAAGAUGGCCUCGACCAUUCGAUGUAACCUUUCCCCCGUGUGAGAUUUCGUGUGCCAGGUUUGGCUGCGAUUUCAAUUUAUAUCCAAUUGAAACUUGGUUGGCUUAAUUUGCUUGAAUAUUUGGAAGAG